AGACUGUAGCCUUCUGGGGACAGGAGUUUUCCUUGCUAUGGAGAGAGAGAGAGAGAGAGACAGAGGCUUAUUAUCAGAGUUAUUACUAGAAGACCAGCUGAGGACACGGAGAGCAAAGACCUUGGGGUCCAGUCUUGUUUAUGCAACUUUAUGAAGGACAAAAUUCCUAAUCUUCAUGGAGCAAGGUGAAGAACAGAACUGAAGAUAAAGCUAAGACUCCCACUGAAGCUAUCAAGCAUGUUACCUUCACAAGGAAUGCAGACUCCUACUCAAAGUGAAUAUUUCUUGUUACAGACCAAGCCAGGGGAUGCAGAGGGAAUACUUACUGUUGCCUUUAAAAGUUAGUCAAGUUUUAAGUCUGUAAGCAAUAGCAUUGCAGUAGAAGAGAAAAGGUGUGCAAUAACGAGUAAGCCUCUGCAUAAGCAAGCCUACUCACUUCUCACUGUAUUUCUCAAAAAAAAAAAAAAAAAAAAAAAAAA
Anas platyrhynchos (mallard) is the source of this 479-nucleotide long non-coding RNA. RefSeq lists it as uncharacterized. Lineage: Eukaryota; Metazoa; Chordata; Aves; Anseriformes; Anatidae. The record is from RefSeq and is a predicted model, not a curated record.